Molecule: ribosomal RNA, 301 nt
Filed under: Escherichia coli
Lineage: Bacteria; Pseudomonadati; Pseudomonadota; Gammaproteobacteria; Enterobacterales; Enterobacteriaceae
Description: bacterial SSU rRNA
Rfam family: Bacterial small subunit ribosomal RNA
Source: RNAcentral
AGGUGGGGUAACGGCUCACCUAGGCGACGAUCCCUAGCUGGUCUGAGAGGAUGACCAGCCACACUGGAACUGAGACACGGUCCAGACUCCUACGGGAGGCAGCAGUGGGGAAUAUUGCACAAUGGGCGCAAGCCUGAUGCAGCCAUGCCGCGUGUAUGAAGAAGGCCUUCGGGUUGUAAAGUACUUUCAGCGGGGAGGAAGGGAGUAAAGUUAAUACCUUUGCUCAUUGACGUUACCCGCAGAAGAAGCACCGGCUAACUCCGUGCCAGCAGCCGCGGUAAUACGGAGGGUGCAAGCGUUA